GUAAGGAAUAUUGGACAAUGGAGGCAACUCUGAUCCAGCCAUGCCGCGUGCAGGAAGAAGGCGCUACGCGUUGUAAACUGCUUUUAUAACAGAGAAAACCUAUGUACGUGUACGUAGUUGAUAGUAUGUUAAGAAUAAGCAUCGGCUAACUUCGUGCCAGCAGCCGCGGUAAUACGAAGGAUGCAAGCGUUAUCCGGAUUUAUUGGGUUUAAAGGGUGCGUAGGCGGUCUUAUAAGUCAGUGGUGAAAUCUUGUCGCUUAACGACAAACGUGCCAUUGAUACUGUAGGACUUGAGUACAGAUGCCGUUGGCGGAAUGUGUCAUGUAGCGGUGAAAUGCAUAGAUAUGACACAGAACACCGAUUGCGAAGGCAGCUGACGAAACUGUAACUGACGCUGAUGCACGAAAGCGUGGGGAUCAAACAGGAUUAGAAACCCGGGUAGUCC
This 445-nucleotide ribosomal RNA is filed under the name uncultured bacterium. RNAcentral's name for it is "bacterial SSU rRNA". It matches the Rfam family "Bacterial small subunit ribosomal RNA", at positions 354 to 796 of the family's 1533-position model. The record is from RNAcentral.